CGAGGCCUGCGAUUGCGGUUCGCGUUGUGUAAGACGAGGGUUGGCGUGUACUCGCCUUGUGGGCGAAACGGACACGUGACGGAAGCAGGAGGCGAAGGCAAAAGGAUCGUGAUUAUAGGGAGAGCGUGUUGGAAGCAUAGCGAGGGUCAACAUCGGCGACGUGCGUUCCCGUCGUCCACGUGCAGCCGUAAUUGCCAGAAAAAAAUUGAAACCCCGUCUUGAAGCUCGAGCGCAAGUUAAUCAGUGGAUGCAAGCGUUACGACAGAGAAAGGAAGAUUCUUUCGCCACUGAUGACAGAACGAACGCAUCUAGAAAAUCCCAUCAACCAUGGUACAGUGUCUUCAGCAAAGAUAUCAUCCGAAA
Long non-coding RNA from Dermacentor andersoni, 363 nucleotides. RefSeq lists it as uncharacterized. Lineage: Eukaryota; Metazoa; Arthropoda; Arachnida; Ixodida; Ixodidae. The record is from RefSeq and is a predicted model, not a curated record.